Molecule: ribosomal RNA, 253 nt
Filed under: uncultured bacterium
Lineage: Bacteria
Description: partial 16S ribosomal RNA
Rfam family: Bacterial small subunit ribosomal RNA
Source: RNAcentral
UACAGAGGUCUCAAGCGUUGUUCGGAUUCAUUGGGCGUAAAGGGUGCGUAGGCGGCGCGGUAAGUCGGACGUGAAAUCCCACGGCUCAACCGUGGAAGUGCAUUCGAAACUGCGAGGCUGGAGUCCUGGAGAGGAAAGUGGAAUACUCGGUGUAGAGGUGAAAUUCGUAGAUAUCGAGUGGAACACCGGUGGCGAAGGCGGCUUUCUGGACAGGUACUGACGCUGAGACGCGAAAGCGUGGGGAGCAAACAGG